UACGGGAGGCAGCAGUGGGGAAUAUUGCACAAUGGGCGCAAGCCUGAUGCAGCCAUGCCGCGUGUAUGAAGAAGGCCUUCGGGUUGUAAAGUACUUUCAGUCGUGAGGAAGGUGUUAAGGUUAAUAACCUUAGCAAUUGACGUUAGCGACAGAAGAAGCACCGGCUAACUCCGUGCCAGCAGCCGCGGUAAUACGGAGGGUGCGAGCGUUAAUCGGAAUUACUGGGCGUAAAGGGCACGCAGGCGGUUAAUUAAGUUGGAUGUGAAAUCCCCGGGCUUAACCUGGGAAUGGCAUUCAAGCUGGUUAGCUAGAGUCUUGUAGAGGGGGUUAGAAUUCCAUGUGUAGCGGUGAAAUGCGUAGAGAUGUGGAGGAAUACCGGUGGCGAAGGCGGCCCCUGGACAAAGGCUGACGCUCAUGUGCGAAAGCGUGGGGAGCAAACG
Molecule: ribosomal RNA, 440 nt
Filed under: uncultured bacterium
Lineage: Bacteria
Description: bacterial SSU rRNA
Rfam family: Bacterial small subunit ribosomal RNA
Source: RNAcentral